RNAcentral lists this ribosomal RNA (128 nucleotides) under Streptomyces sp. FT05W. RNAcentral describes it as "partial 16S ribosomal RNA". It matches the Rfam family "Bacterial small subunit ribosomal RNA", at positions 557 to 684 of the family's 1533-position model. The record is from RNAcentral. Lineage: Bacteria; Bacillati; Actinomycetota; Actinomycetes; Kitasatosporales; Streptomycetaceae.
GGCCUCAAGAGCUCGUAGGCGGCUUGUCACGUCGGAUGUGAAAGCCCGGGGCUUAACCCCGGGUCUGCAUUCGAUACGGGCUAGCUAGAGUGUGGUAGGGGAGAUCGGAAUUCCUGGUGUAGCGGUGA